This 239-nucleotide ribosomal RNA is filed under the name uncultured bacterium. Its description in RNAcentral is "partial 16S ribosomal RNA". It matches the Rfam family "Bacterial small subunit ribosomal RNA", at positions 15 to 236 of the family's 1533-position model. The record is from RNAcentral.
GAUCCUGGCUCAGGACGAACGCUGGCGGCGUGCUUAACACAUGCAAGUCGAACGGAGCACCCCUGAAGGAGUUUUCGGACAACGGAAGGGAGUGCUUAGUGGCGGACUGGUGAGUAACGCGUGAGGAACCUGCCUUUCAGAGGGGGACAACAGUUGGAAACGACUGCUAAUACCGCAUGACGCAUGACGGGGGCAUCCCUGACAUGCCAAAGAUUUAUCGCUGAAAGAUGGCCUCGCGU